RNAcentral lists this ribosomal RNA (282 nucleotides) under Triticum aestivum (bread wheat). Its description in RNAcentral is "partial small subunit ribosomal RNA". Lineage: Eukaryota; Viridiplantae; Streptophyta; Magnoliopsida; Poales; Poaceae. The record is from RNAcentral.
AUGCAGAACAAAAUAUGGGCUGUCUACGAGGCUAUCACGUGCACCCGGAGAAGCGACGUUGUUCAGCACCAGCAACAGCAGUCGUAUCCCUCCAUGCACCAACAUCAACCACGUCCACGUCUAGCACAUCAGCCGACGACCAGGCCAGCCCCUCUUGAACAACCUGGCAGUUCAACGUGGCAGCACCCACAGCACUAUGGUCCCACAUCGAGCUUCGUGUUUUCUUCACAGCCACAGCAACACAGUCCCUCGUCGAGCUUUGUGUUUGAGCUAGAGCAUUGA